UCUACAACAUUAAGGUCAGGUUUUACGAUCUAAUAAGCAAACUAGUUUUAGGGUUUCUCUUCUUUUGGCAGUUGCAUACUUGGUGCUUAAGAAUGAUCAACGAUCGAUCUUGAAUCAGGACAUUCUUUCUCUAACAUACAUUCUACUGCCAAAGGAGAGUUGCCCUUUGACUCUUUUGUUUACAACCAUGAAUGUUCAUUUUGGUCAAGCUUUCAAGCAUUACAUCACGUGGAAUCAAAGGGCAUCCAGGGAAUGGCUUUCCAAACGAUCAAAGGAAAAAAGACGAUACAGUUUUCGCACUUUUAGCCGUAGUGACAGAAGAAAUUCCCGUAAUAGUCAAGGGUUCCAUCGUAGGGGUCGAGUGCCCCAUCAUCGGGCUCAAAAUGAAGAUGACAUAGGGCUAAACUGAAGCCAUUGUACGACUACGAUCAGGAAUUGUAGCAUUAUGAUUGGACGCCUAGAAACGGUCUGUUUUGAUCCUCUUUUGGGCUUCAUUCUUAACUGUGUUUUUGGAUAAUUCUUGGGGUUUUUUCAUAGCUUAUUUAAGUUAUUUGUUUCUUUUUUAUUAAAGAAAUUCUAUUAUUAUAAAUAAGAGCAUAGGCAUUGUUUUUAUUACUUA
Lactuca sativa (garden lettuce) is the source of this 619-nucleotide non-coding RNA. The record is from RefSeq and is a predicted model, not a curated record. Lineage: Eukaryota; Viridiplantae; Streptophyta; Magnoliopsida; Asterales; Asteraceae.